Molecule: transfer RNA, 102 nt
Filed under: Thermoproteota archaeon
Lineage: Archaea; Thermoproteati; Thermoproteota
Also listed under: 1 other name
Description: tRNA-Leu
Rfam family: tRNA
About the family: Transfer RNA (tRNA) molecules are approximately 80 nucleotides in length.
Source: RNAcentral
GCGGGGGUUGCCAAGCCAGGUCAAAGGCGUAGGACUGAGGCUCCUAUCCUGCAGAGGUUCGAGCCCGCGGACGAAAAGGUUCGAAUCCCUCCCCCCGCACCA